This 1045-nucleotide long non-coding RNA is filed under the name Malus domestica (apple). RNAcentral describes it as "long non-coding RNA (MDOM_LNC002784)". Lineage: Eukaryota; Viridiplantae; Streptophyta; Magnoliopsida; Rosales; Rosaceae. The record is from RNAcentral.
AACGUGGCUGAUCAAUUUGCUGACAGAUUUCCCAUUAUUCAUUAGGAUUAUGUUUCCUAGUUUCUCUAAACUUAUUAUAUUUCCUAGUUUUAGAAGAACUUUUCUGGUAAGGAUUUUAUUUUGUAGUAGUAUAACUAAGGAGUUUACUUUGGGGAAUUCAGUUUAGAGAGCUUUUGACGAUUUAAGUUUAUUUAUAAGGUGUUUUCUAUCCAUAUUUUUAAUAAUAUUUUACUUUUUAAUUAUGCUACUACAUAACUAAUCAUUUUUGCUAGGGUGAGGCUAUAAGCCUUAGCUUUUCAAUUUGCUUAUGAUAUUAUGCAUGCAAAUUUUGAAUUAUUAAUCACCAUGUUUGAAUCUAUCUAUUUAUCUUAAUGCAUGGAUACCAUUAUUAUAUUUAUAAAAGUAAUUUGAUACAAUUUUGGUCCGAAGGUUUUCCUUGAAAUUGGUCAAGGCUUCUUGUGGCUAAUAAUUGUAAUUUCACUUAGGAUGAAUACCACAUCUUAAGGGUUGCAUAGUUUUUCAAAGAGUUUUCAUAAAGUUUAAUGAGUCUUCCAUGUUUAGAUUUAAUCUGAAUACCACAAACAAAUUGCAUAUUUGAUUUAUAUGAGUUGGGUUUUUUCCCUGCUUUCUUCCAUUGUUAUUUAUAGUCAUUUGUAAAAAGAGAAAUAUUUAUAGGAAAUGCAUGCUUGUGAAAAAUACAAUUGAAUAUCGGCAUGCCCACUACUAAUUGAAGAUAAUUUAAAACUUAUUUCAUUCCUUCAUUACCAGCAAAUUAAUAAGUAAAUUACUUUUGUAAAAUUCGUAUCUAGUUCACGUGAGUAAUGGUGUAAAAGCCCAGUACUAAGUACUCAAGUUCAAAAUGAUUUUGCUUUUUGGUAAAAGAAAAAAAAAUAGUACAAGGUGAAGUAGAAUCAUGUUAAUAUAAUUGCAAGUGGAAUGGCACAUAAGUUGGCACAAUAUGGUUAAACAAUGCAAGAUUUGGGUCAGUUUGAGAAGCCUCCGAACUUAAUUGUAGACCUCUUGCUGGAGGAUAACAAAUAUGUAU